CAAUAGCGUAUAUUAAAGUUGUUGCGGUUAAAAAGCUCGUAGUUGGAUUUCUGCUGAGAACGACCGGUCCGCCCUCUGGGUGUGUAUCUGGCUCUUUCUUGGCAUCUUCUUGGUGAACGUUGCUGCACUUGACUGUGUGGAGCGCUACCCAGGACUUUUACUUUGAGGAAAUUAGAGUGUUUCAAGCAGGCAUACGCCUUGAAUACAUUAGCAUGGAAUAAUAAGAUAGGACCUCGGUUCUAUUUUGUUGGUUUCUAGAGCUGAGGUAAUGAUUAAUAGGGAUAGUUGGGGGCAUUCGUAUUUAACUGUCAGAGGUGAAAUUCUUGGAUUUGUCAAAGACGGACUACUGCGAAAGCAUUUGCCAAGGAUGUUUUCAUUGA
RNAcentral lists this ribosomal RNA (380 nucleotides) under uncultured eukaryote. Its description in RNAcentral is "partial 18S ribosomal RNA". It matches the Rfam family "Eukaryotic small subunit ribosomal RNA", at positions 592 to 976 of the family's 1831-position model. The record is from RNAcentral.